CAAGUGUUCCAAUACUUUUAGCGCUAGACAGUGUUCCAAUACUUUUAGAGCCAGACCAUGUUCCAAUUCUUUGAGCUAGACAGCGUUCCAAUACUUUUGGAGCUAGACAGAGUUCCAAUACUUUUGCAGCUAGACAGUGUUCCAAUAAUCGUAGAGCCAGACCAUGUUCCAAUACUUUUGGACAGUGUUCCAAUAUUUUUUAGAGUUAGACAGUGUUCCAAUACUUUUAGCGCUAGACGGUGUUCCAAUACUUUUAGAGCCAGACCAUGUUCCAAUACUUUUGGACAGUGUUCCAAUAUUUUUUAGAGUUAGACAGCGUUCCAAUACUUUUAGUGCUAGACAGCAUUCCAAUACUUCUUUAGAGCUAGACAGAGUUACAAUACUUUUUUAGAAUUAGACAGCGUUCCAAUAUUUUUAGAGCUAGACAGUAUUCCAAUAUUUUUUAAAGCUAGACAGUGUUCCAAUACAUUUAGAGCUAGACAGUAUUCCAAUAUUUUUUAAAGCUAGACAGUGUUCCAAUACUUUUCAAAGUAGACAGUGUUCCAAUACUUUUAUAGCUAGACAGCGGUCCUAUACUUUGAGGUAAACAGCGUUCCAAUACUUUCAGAGCAAGACAGCAUUCCAAUAUUUUUAGAGCUUGUCAGCGUUCUAAUACUUUUAGAGCUAGAGAGCGUUCCAAUACUUUUCAUGCUAGACAGCAUUCCAAUAUUUUUAUAGCUAGACAGUGUUCCAAUACUUUGAGAUGGACAGUGUUCCAAUACUUUUAGAGCCAGACAGUAUUCCAAUAUUUUUUAGAGCUAGACAGUGGUCCAAUACUUUGAGCUAGACAGCGUUCCAAUACUUUUGGAGCUAGACAGAGUUCCAAUAUUUUUAGAGCUAGACAGCAUUCCAAUACUUUUAGAGCUAGACAGCCUUCCAAUAUUUUCAGAGCUAGACAGCCUUCCAAUAUUUUCAGAGCUAGACAGCCUUCCAGUAGUUUUGGAGCUAGACAGAGUUCAAAUACAUUUGGAGCUAGACAGAGUUCCAGUACUUUUGGACCUAGACAGCAUUCCUUUUUUUUGAGCUAGACAGCAUUCCAAUACUUUGAGCUAGAGAGUGUUCCAAUAUUUUUGGAGCUAGACUGCUUUCCAAUACUUUGAGAAUGCUGGGUGCUUGCUAGACUGUUACUACAUAGUUUAGAGGGUGUUCUGGGUUGUUUCUAGGGUGUAGCUAGAGUAUUCUGGGUGGUUGCUAGUGUGCUGCUAGGUGGCCGCUAAUGUGUUCUGAGUGGUUGCUAGGGCAUUGCUAGGCAGUUGCUAGGGUGUUCUGGGUGGUUGCUAGGCAGUUGCUUGGUGGUUGCUAGGGUGUUCUGGGAGGUUACUAGGGUGCUGCUAGGGGUUUGCUUGGGUGCUCUGUGUGGUUGCUAGGGUUUUCUGAGUGGUUGCUAGGGCAUUGCUAGGCAGUUGCUAGGGUGUUCUGGGUGGUUACUAGGGUGCUGCUAGGGGUUUGCUUGGGUGCUCUGUGUGGUUGCUAGGGUUUUCUGAGUGGUUGCUAGGCGGUUGCUUGGUGAUUGCUAUAGUGUUCUGGGUGGUUGCUAGGGUGUUGUGGGUGGUUGCAAGGGUGUUGCUAGGGUUUUAUGGGUGGUUGCUUGACUGUUGCUAGGGUGUUGUGGGUGGUUACUUGUCUUGCUUGGGUGCUAUGGGUGGUUGUUAGGUUGUUAUGGGUGGUUGCUAGGGUAUUAUGGGUGGUUGCUGGGGUGUUAUAAUUGUUGCUAGGUUGUUGCUACGAUGUUAUGGGUAGUGGUUAGC
Ictalurus punctatus (channel catfish) is the source of this 1787-nucleotide long non-coding RNA. The record is from Ensembl. Lineage: Eukaryota; Metazoa; Chordata; Actinopteri; Siluriformes; Ictaluridae.